This 1489-nucleotide ribosomal RNA is filed under the name Lactiplantibacillus plantarum. RNAcentral describes it as "bacterial SSU rRNA". It matches the Rfam family "Bacterial small subunit ribosomal RNA". The record is from RNAcentral. Lineage: Bacteria; Bacillati; Bacillota; Bacilli; Lactobacillales; Lactobacillaceae.
GACGAACGCUGGCGGCGUGCCUAAUACAUGCAAGUCGAACGAACUCUGGUAUUGAUUGGUGCUUGCAUCAUGAUUUACAUUUAAGUGAGUGGCGAACUGGUGAGUAACACGUGGGAAACCUGCCCAGAAGCGGGGGAUAACACCUGGAAACAGAUGCUAAUACCGCAUAACAACUUGGACCGCAUGGUCCGAGCUUGAAAGAUGGCUUCGGCUAUCACUUUUGGAUGGUCCCGCGGCGUAUUAGCUAGAUGGUGGGGUAACGGCUCACCAUGGCAAUGAUACGUAGCCGACCUGAGAGGGUAAUCGGCCACAUUGGGACUGAGACACGGCCCAAACUCCUACGGGAGGCAGCAGUAGGGAAUCUUCCACAAUGGACGAAAGUCUGAUGGAGCAACGCCGCGUGAGUGAAGAAGGGUUUCGGCUCGUAAAACUCUGUUGUUAAAGAAGAACAUAUCUGAGAGUAACUGUUCAGGUAUUGACGGUAUUUAACCAGAAAGCCACGGCUAACUACGUGCCAGCAGCCGCGGUAAUACGUAGGUGGCAAGCGUUGUCCGGAUUUAUUGGGCGUAAAGCGAGCGCAGGCGGUUUUUUAAGUCUGAUGUGAAAGCCUUCGGCUCAACCGAAGAAGUGCAUCGGAAACUGGGGAACUUGAGUGCAGAAGAGGACAGUGGAACUCCAUGUGUAGCGGUGAAAUGCGUAGAUAUAUGGAAGAACACCAGUGGCGAAGGCGGCUGUCUGGUCUGUAACUGACGCUGAGGCUCGAAAGUAUGGGUAGCAAACAGGAUUAGAUACCCUGGUAGUCCAUACCGUAAACGAUGAAUGCUAAGUGUUGGAGGGUUUCCGCCCUUCAGUGCUGCAGCUAACGCAUUAAGCAUUCCGCCUGGGGAGUACGGCCGCAAGGCUGAAACUCAAAGGGAUUGACGGGGGCCCGCACAAGCGGUGGAGCAUGUGGUUUAAUUCGAAGCUACGCGAAGAACCUUACCAGGUCUUGACAUACUAUGCAAAUCUAAGAGAUUAGACGUUCCCUUUGGGGACAUGGAUACAGGUGGUGCAUGGUUGUCGUCAGCUCGUGUCGUGAGAUGUUGGGUUAAGUCCCGCAACGAGCGCAACCCUUAUUAUCAGUUGCCAGCAUUAAGUUGGGCACUCUGGUGAGACUGCCGGUGACAAACCGGAGGAAGGUGGGGAUGACGUCAAAUCAUCAUGCCCCUUAUGACCUGGGCUACACACGUGCUACAAUGGAUGGUACAACGAGUUGCGAACUCGCGAGAGUAAGCUAAUCUCUUAAAGCCAUUCUCAGUUCGGAUUGUAGGCUGCAACUCGCCUACAUGAAGUCGGAAUCGCUAGUAAUCGCGGAUCAGCAUGCCGCGGUGAAUACGUUCCCGGGCCUUGUACACACCGCCCGUCACACCAUGAGAGUUUGUAACACCCAAAGUCGGUGGGGUAACCUUUUAGGAACCAGCCGCCUAAGGUGGGACAGAUGAUUAGGGUG